This 967-nucleotide ribosomal RNA is filed under the name Oleidesulfovibrio sp. RNAcentral describes it as "bacterial SSU rRNA". It matches the Rfam family "Bacterial small subunit ribosomal RNA", at positions 38 to 999 of the family's 1533-position model. The record is from RNAcentral. Lineage: Bacteria; Pseudomonadati; Thermodesulfobacteriota; Desulfovibrionia; Desulfovibrionales; Desulfovibrionaceae.
GGCGCUGCGCGUGCUACCAUGCAGUCGUACGCGAAAGUCCCUUCGGGGAUGAGUAAAGUGGCGCACGGGUGAGUAACGCGUGGAUUAUCUACCUGCAUCACCGGAAUAACGGUUGGAAACGACUGCUAAUGCCGGAUAGUCUCGAAAGGGUAAAGGGGGCCUCUGCUUGCAAGCUUCCGGGUGCUGAUGAGUCCGCGUCUGAUUAGCUAGUUGGUGAGGUAAUGGCUCACCAAGGCAACGAUCAGUAGCAGGUUUGAGAGGAUGACCUGCCACACUGGGACUGGAACACGGCCCAGACUCCUACGGGAGGCAGCAGUGGGGAAUAUUGCGCAAUGGGCGAAAGCCUGACGCAGCGACGCCGCGUGGAGGAUGAAGGCCUUCGGGUCGUAAACUCCUGUCAAGAGGGAAGAACCGUAUGCGGAAUAAUACGCCGCAUGCCUGACGGUACCUCUAGAGGAAGCACCGGCUAACUCCGUGCCAGCAGCCGCGGUAAUACGGAGGGUGCAAGCGUUAAUCGGAAUCACUGGGCGUAAAGCGCGCGUAGGCGGCUUGGUAAGUCAGGUGUGAAAGCCCCCGGCCCAACCGGGGAAUUGCACUUGAUACUGCUAGGCUAGAGUUCAGGAGAGGGUGGCGGAAUUCCAGGUGUAGGAGUGAAAUCCGUAGAUAUCUGGAGGAACACCGGUGGCGAAGGCGGCCACCUGGACUGACACUGACGCUGAGGUGCGAAAGCGUGGGUAGCAAACAGGAUUAGAUACCCUGGUAGUCCACGCCGUAAACGAUGGAUACUAGGUGUCGGGGACUUGAUCCUCGGUGCCGUAGCUAACGCGUUAAGUAUCCCGCCUGGGGAGUACGGUCGCAAGGCUGAAACUCAAAGAAAUUGACGGGGGCCCGCACAAGCGGUGGAAUAUGUGGUUUAAUUCGAUGCAACGCGAAAAACCUUACCUAGGCUUGACUUCCGGAGAAACCC